This 253-nucleotide ribosomal RNA is filed under the name uncultured bacterium. RNAcentral's name for it is "partial 16S ribosomal RNA". It matches the Rfam family "Bacterial small subunit ribosomal RNA", at positions 524 to 776 of the family's 1533-position model. The record is from RNAcentral.
GACGAACCGUGCGAACGUUGUUCGGAAUCACUGGGCUUAAAGGGCGCGUAGGCGGGUCGGCAAGUCAGGGGUGAAAUCGUUCGGCUUAACCGGACAACUGCCUUUGAUACUGCCGGUCUUGAGGGAGGUAGGGGUCUGUGGAACUUCCGGUGGAGCGGUGAAAUGCGUUGAUAUCGGAAGGAACGCCGGUGGCGAAAGCGGCUCGCUGGACCCCUUCUGACGCUGAGGCGCGAAAGCCAGGGGAGCAAACGGG